RNAcentral lists this ribosomal RNA (301 nucleotides) under uncultured bacterium. RNAcentral describes it as "partial 16S ribosomal RNA". It matches the Rfam family "Bacterial small subunit ribosomal RNA", at positions 509 to 807 of the family's 1533-position model. The record is from RNAcentral.
CAGUAGCCGCGGUAAUACGAACCGUGCGAACGUUAUUCGGAAUCACUGGGCUUAAAGCGCGUGUAGGCGGGCCGUCACGUCGGCUGCUGAAAUCCCCCGGCUCAACCGGGGAAGUGGCACCGAUACGAGCGGCCUUGAGGGGGGUAGGGGGGUCUGGAACUUCCGGUGGAGCGGUGAAAUGCGUUGAGAUCGGAAGGAACGCCCGUGGCGAAAGCGAGGCCCUGGACCCUUUCUGACGCUGAGACGCGAAAGCCAGGGGAGCGAACGGGAUUAGAUACCCCAGUAGUCCCUGUCUCUUAUU